UACGGGGGGAGCAAGCGUUGUUCGGAUUUACUGGGCGUAAAGGGCGCGUAGGCGGUCAGCACAAGUCAGUUGUGAAAUCUCCGGGCUUAACUCGGAAAGGUCAACUGAUACUGUGCGACUAGAGUGCGGAAGGGGCAACUGGAAUUCUCGGUGUAGCGGUGAAAUGCGUAGAUAUCGAGAGGAACACCUGCGGCGAAGGCGGGUUGCUGGGCCGACACUGACACUGAUGCGCGAAAGCCAGGGGAGCGAACGGG
RNAcentral lists this ribosomal RNA (254 nucleotides) under uncultured bacterium. Its description in RNAcentral is "partial 16S ribosomal RNA". It matches the Rfam family "Bacterial small subunit ribosomal RNA", at positions 524 to 776 of the family's 1533-position model. The record is from RNAcentral.